This 380-nucleotide RNase P RNA is filed under the name pig gut metagenome. Its description in RNAcentral is "Bacterial RNase P class A". It matches the Rfam family "Bacterial RNase P class A". Rfam says of the family: Ribonuclease P (RNase P) is a ubiquitous endoribonuclease, found in archaea, bacteria and eukarya as well as chloroplasts and mitochondria. The record is from RNAcentral.
AGUAAGCGAGGCGACCGCCCGAAACCAGAUGUUCGGGAGGAAAGUCCGAGCUCCGUAGGGCAGAGUGCCGGAUAACACCCGGUGAAGGCGACUUCAAGGAAAGUGCAACAGAAAUAAACCGCCUCUUAACGAGGUAAGGAUGGAAAGGCGAGGUAAGAGCUCACCGGCGGCUUGGCGACUUGUCCGCCCUGUAAACCCCACUCGGAGCAAGAUUGGAAUGAGAGCAUUUAAUGGCUGCCCGUCACGCUCUCGGAAAUCGCUAAAGCCUACUGGCAACUUUAGGCGCAGAUAGAUGGUCGCACAGCGGAUAAAGCCUUUCCCUGCGUGCAGGCGAAAGUGCGGCGGAAACGCAACCGUGGACAGAACUCGGCUUACCGCUU